This 424-nucleotide ribosomal RNA is filed under the name uncultured bacterium. Its description in RNAcentral is "bacterial SSU rRNA". It matches the Rfam family "Bacterial small subunit ribosomal RNA", at positions 337 to 778 of the family's 1533-position model. The record is from RNAcentral.
UCCUACGGGAGGCAGCAGUGGGGAAUAUUGGACAAUGGGCGAAAGCCUGAUCCAGCAAUGCCGCGUGUGUGAAGAAGGUCUUCGGAUUGUAAAGCACUUUUGGCGGGGACGAUGAUGACGGUACCCGCAGAAUAAGCUCCGGCUAACUUCGUGCCAGCAGCCGCGGUAAUACGAAGGGGGCUAGCGUUGCUCGGAAUGACUGGGCGUAAAGGGCGCGUAGACGGACUGCACAGUCAGGCGUGAAAUUCCUGGGCUUAACCUGGGGACUGCGUCUGAGACGUGUGAUCUAGAGUGAGGAAGAGGGUCGUGGAAUUUCCAGUGUAGAGGUGAGAUUCGUAGAUAUUGGAAAGAACACCGGUGGCGAAGGCGGCGACCUGGUCCUUUACUGACGCUGAGGCGGGAAAGAGUGGGGAGCAAACAGGAA